AUUGAACGCUGGCGGCAGGCCUAACACAUGCAAGUCGAGCGGCGCGGCGGACGAGUGAGUACUGACUAGGAAUCUGCCCGGUAGUGGGGUAUCACGUCCGGAAACGGGCGCUUAUACCGCAUGCUAUCAGAUGAGCCUAGGUCGGAUUAGCUAGUUGGUGGGGUAAUGGCUUACCAAGGCGACGAUCCGUAGCUGGUCUGAGAGGAUGAUCAGUCACACUGGAACUGAGACACGGCCCAGACUCCUACGGGAGGCAGCAGUGGGGAAUAUUGGGCAAUGGGCGAAAGCCUGACCGAGCCAUGCCGCGUGAGUGAAGAAGGUUUUCGGAUUGUAAAGCACUUUAGGUUGGGAGGCGUUAUCAACAGAGUAAGCACCGGCUAACUACGUGCCAGCAGCCGCGGUAAUUC
This 407-nucleotide ribosomal RNA is filed under the name uncultured bacterium. RNAcentral describes it as "partial 16S ribosomal RNA". It matches the Rfam family "Bacterial small subunit ribosomal RNA", at positions 30 to 526 of the family's 1533-position model. The record is from RNAcentral.